UGGAAUCCAAUGGCUUUUGUAUAACUUUCAAACUAAUAAGUAAUCACAUGCAUGUUUCGACUUUGAAUACAAGUGAUAUUUUUUAAGGCAGCAAAGUCACUCAACGUAUGAAAAUAACCUACCAUAGUCAUUUCAAACUUUUUUGGGACAAUAAAGUCACUAACUAUUAUUCCAAAGACCAGAUUUUUUGCCUUUUGUUUUCAUCAUUAUCUUGUGGGUAUAAGAAUUUGCAGGAUUAAUGAGUUCUUGGGUACAUGACUUGGACAUUACUGCUUAACAAUUUGUCUAAAAACCUAUCAACUUUUCCUUCGACUUCAUGUGGGGAUUUACAUACGACCACUCACUCCAUUUCAAUUCAUUUGUCGCAUAAUGAUUUGACACAGAGUUUAAGAAAGUAAAGAAGACUUUUGGAUCAUAUGGUCCUACAUUAAAGGUAUGUAUCUCUAAUCAAUUUUACUUAUUUUUUGUCAUUUAUCUUUUGUGUAGGUUCUACUGUUUGCCAUUUUCUAAAAUACAGAAUUGUUAAUUAAACUGUUUUCUGUCAAUCUAGUGAUACUUUCUGCAAGUACACAGAUGUCUUUUACAACCCUGAAAUCCCUGAGGGCCGGUUAGCACAUGGUUUGAAGCUUGGUUGAUUAUAUGCUCACCCUUCUCUACUAAAAGGCAUUUGUACUGGGUUCCAACUCGUGACAUAUGUGUAAAUCACACAUCACGCAGCUCCUACCUCUGAACCAAAGGCCUGCAAGUAUCUGAAAGUUUUCUAUUUUCAUAGUAAUUAACUAGGUAUACAGGUGCUCAGGAAAUUAAAAGACCCGAAGAAGAUUCGAGAGUGCUGAACUCAGAUAGUGCUUGUUGCUGCAUAGAAUGAGCUUUUAGUUAAAGUUGAUUUUUAUUUGCAUCUAGGAGAAAAUAUCAAAUGAAGAGUACAACAUUUGAGGAUUAAGUGAUACACAUUUUUUGUAAGAAACAAUACUUUUGAAUAAUUUGGGAUAUGCUAAAAUGGAUUAACUUUACAAGAGGUAAGUGAGCAAUAAAAACAAUGCAGACCAAAGAGUUUAGCAGAAUAACAAUUUAGAAGAAGCUUACAUGGAAAGCUUGGUCCGACAAGCAGAAUAGAGAAACGUUCAACCUAAUGAACGGAUGCCCCUCAAACUGGUCCUUUGCAACGGAUACUGCUAUGAACGCAUCCCUGUUAGUAGUACAACAUUCUCAUGAGAAGUUGUUCUUGAGCAUACAAUUUGCAUUUUGUACCGCAGAAACUUCCUACCUGAAUCCAUAGAAACAAUCUAAACGUAGCAUCAUCAGUGAGAAUUAUUUGAUACCUUUCAUUGGCUUCACCAUAGCACCUGAAUAGAUAUGACAAAUACUGAAAUUCUUCUUGUUUCGUACAGGUUGGGAAUGGGGAGGUCAGACAUUAAUCAUCAUCAUAUACAUAUAUGUUAAGUGGCAUCUGAGACCAAGAAUAGAAAUAUGUGUCUCAAACUUAUUCACUUCUAUCUUUGAAUUUAGAAUCAAAAUACUCCUUGUCUUUUAACAUGAAGCACUAACAGUCCUCCGUGUUUCAAGAAUUGGUACACUUUUAAUACUUUCUCAAACAACUAUCUAAUUUUUAACGGACUUACAAGCUAUCCACAGUGAGAAAAUUUUCCCUUCAAAUCUCAGUCUUUGUUUCCCCUGUCCCUCCACUUCCAUAUCUAACCAGGAUUCUUAUUUGUCUCUUAUUCAAAUCAAACCCAAUAAUCAAAAUUCUAUUUAGAAUUUCACUUAAAACUUAAUCGAUUAUCGAAAUCAAUUAUUUUGUUAAGACCCAAUAAUGGCAGAGAAUCAACUCUUACUUGUGGUGAGAAUUUUUUUUGUUGCUUCAUCAUUAUAUUUAUUUUUGAGAACUUAUGUGUUUUUUACAUAUGGAACAAAAGCUUGGUUCAUUGUUGGAAGAUCAACAAAAAGAACUCGAAAAUCGAAUUCAUAAACUAUUUUAACCCAUAUUGAGAAAACGAAACCAAAAUCAGUUUGUUAUUUCCAUUUAAACCAAACUGUGUCCACCUCUGAACUUGGUGCACUACUUAUGUGAAGACAAGCCAAUAUUGUGUGGCCUGAGACUCUCUCUUUAGUUCGUCAUAUAUUAUCUCUAACACUAUUUUAGAGAGUUAUUGUUUCAUCAUUUAAUUAUCUUAAACUAACAUAAAGUAUAUGUAUUAUGCUUCCAGGUUAGAUGAGGACAUGUUAAAGUUGGACAAGAAAAAAUGUAAUUAGGAGAAUUAGGAGAAAGAGGAAUGAAUCUUUAUUGGAAAAUCACAACCAACCCAACAAAGUGGAGUAACAUUUUAAAGAUCAGUUUUUCUUUUGGUAAAAUAAAAAGAGUAGAUCACCUUGUUCUUUUCAAGUUUAAACUAUAUUUUGCUAUUGUUUUUCAGUUUGUUUUUUUCUUGUGUAGUUUUUGGUGCUACUGCUGUUUUUGGUUGCAAUUUUAGUGUGUUUUUAGCGAAAAUCAGGUGCUGCAGUUUUUUGUGCUUUUCUGGCGCCGUUUUGGUGCUUUCUACUGCUGUUUUGGUGCAAUUUUAAUUCUGAUUUUUUAAUUCA
This 2580-nucleotide long non-coding RNA is filed under the name Solanum tuberosum (potato). Its description in RNAcentral is "long non-coding RNA (STUB_LNC010103)". The record is from RNAcentral. Lineage: Eukaryota; Viridiplantae; Streptophyta; Magnoliopsida; Solanales; Solanaceae.